Hippoglossus stenolepis (Pacific halibut) is the source of this 723-nucleotide long non-coding RNA. RefSeq lists it as uncharacterized. The transcript has 3 exons. The record is from RefSeq and is a predicted model, not a curated record. NCBI's taxonomy places the organism in Eukaryota, Metazoa, Chordata, Actinopteri, Pleuronectiformes, Pleuronectidae.
UCUAUGUUUUCCUUUGAAUAUUUGUUAAGACUAAAAUCUAUGUUUUCCUUUGAAUAUGUGUCUGUGAAGAUGGCAAUGAAACUGAACUCUAAACAAAUGCAGUAUGUUAGACAGGGGUGGGGGCAGCCUCGUGAAUGAAGCGUCUGUCUCCGCAGACAUGAAACUACCGCCUCGUGUCUUGCUGAAGUCGACACAACACUGUUUCCCUGGAGGAGAGGAUGAGUGCGUUGAAAAGUAAAGCCGCGGGCCCAGUGUGGACGAGUCGAGGCGGAGAAGAGGGGCGCACAAUCCCAACAUUAUGGUAAGAGCUAAACUACAGAGAGAAGCCAUUGCUAACUGCUAAGUAACUCUUAGAUCUGAAUAGCGUGUUAACAACUGUGGGAUUAGCAAGAAAGUUGCUAAAAGAAGAAGAGAGCAUCAAGUGCUUGAGCAGAACUAGUGCAUGUUUAAAUAUGUACGAACUGCUUAAACUUAAGAGUUUGUUCUCGUUAAGUUUUUCAUCAUAAACGUAACUUUUUGUCCGGUUGUAUUUUAUAGGAAACAGCCCGUCUCUUCACACCUCUGAGGCAAAUGGCCGGCGCCACGAACCGGAGCGAGGCCUGAGCCCCCACAACGAGGCAGUCACUGCACAUUAGGCCGAGACUUAGUCCGGAUUUUCAGUGUGGAAAAUGACGCCAUUGUAUCUGCCUGUACUAUGCCGUACUAAGACGUUCUAUGAGCCAG